Non-coding RNA from Aedes albopictus (Asian tiger mosquito), 116 nucleotides. NCBI's taxonomy places the organism in Eukaryota, Metazoa, Arthropoda, Insecta, Diptera, Culicidae. The record is from Rfam.
UGCCCAGCAACUCCUAUCCCUACCUCCACGCGGUACCGGCCGGAAACUAUGAGCAACCUUAGGGAAGAUCGGGUAACCAACCCCGGUGGGACCUUUGGUCGUAGGCUGACAGGGAA